RNAcentral lists this ribosomal RNA (778 nucleotides) under Seinura hyrcania. RNAcentral's name for it is "SSU rRNA". It matches the Rfam family "Eukaryotic small subunit ribosomal RNA", at positions 193 to 988 of the family's 1831-position model. Lineage: Eukaryota; Metazoa; Nematoda; Chromadorea; Rhabditida; Aphelenchidae. The record is from RNAcentral.
GGAUCGAGGUGCGUUUAUUGGUGCAAAAUCAGUCAUUGAACUGUUGCUUACUCUGAAUAAUCAAGCAUAUCGUAUGGCCUCGUGCCGACGAAGUUUCUGUCAAGUAUCUGCCUUAUCAACUGUCGUUGGGAGUGUAGUGGACUCCCAUGGUUGUGACGGGUAACGGAGAAUCAGGGUUUGACUCCGGAGAGGGAGCCUUAGAAACGGCUACCAUGUCUAAGGAUAGCAGCAGGCGCGAAAAUUACCCAAUAUCAAAACGAUGAGGUAGUAACGAGAAAUAACGAGAUCGUUCUCUUUGAGGUCGAUCAUUGGAAUGAGUACAAUCCAGACACUUUAACGAGUAUCUACGAGAGGGCAAGUCUGGUGCCAGCAGCCGCGGUAAUUCCAGCUCUCGUAAGGUAUAGAAUUAUUGCUGUGGUUAAAAAGUUCGUAGUUGGAUUUGCAAGUUGGUGAAAGUCCACUCUAACGAGUGCGUACUCUUUGCCUUCAUUUUGUUGACAUGGGUGCAGGUCGGCUUCGGUUGGCUUGUGCUCGGUUAGCAGGAUUACUUUGAACGGCUCAAGUGCUUAAAGCACGUCUUAUGACUGAAUACCGGUGCAUGGAAUAAUGGAAAAAGGCUACGGCCGAGUUUUAUUGGUUUUAUCGGUUGAAGCAAUGGUUAAAAGGAACAACCGGGGGCAUUCGUAUCGCUACGCGAGAGGUGAAAUUCGUGGACCGUAGCGAGACGCCCAAAAGCGAAAGCACUUGCCAAGAGUGUUUUCAUUAAUCAAGAACGAAA